RNAcentral lists this long non-coding RNA (683 nucleotides) under Elaeis guineensis (African oil palm). RNAcentral's name for it is "long non-coding RNA (EGUI_LNC020711)". Lineage: Eukaryota; Viridiplantae; Streptophyta; Magnoliopsida; Arecales; Arecaceae. The record is from RNAcentral.
UCCACUCGGUCACAUCCUAUUGAUCAUACAUAAAGUUUUGAUAUCACUUUAUAAUCUCAAUGAUCUUAAACCUAAGCUCUGAUAUUAUUCUAUCAUAUCCUAAUCAUUUAUAUCAUUUAUAUCAUAAUCUCCAAUGAUUAUAACCUAAGCUCUGAUACCAUAAAAUAUCACGCUCCAAAUUCGGGACAUAGCACGGUCAUGCUACCGAGGGAUGGAGCCCACGAUAACACGAAGCAAANNNNNNNNNNNNNNNNNNNNUUUUCUUAGUGGUGAAACAUGAAAGACAUUGUGCACUUUAGAUAAAUCCGAUGGUAAGGGGAGUUUGUAAGCAACAUCUCCUACUCGGCUCAAAAUUUCAAAAGAUCCAUUAUAUCGUGGGCUCAGCUUGCCAUGUCUCCCAAAUCUCAUGACACUUUUUGUAGGUGAUACUUUUAGAAAAUUAUGAUCACCGACCUGAAAUUCUAAUUCUCUUCUUUUUCUAUCUGGCCAACUUUUCUGUCUAUCCUGUGCUGCCUUGAGUCUUUCCUUGAUCAGAUAGAUUUUCUCUUUAGCAUCCUUUUAUUAUCAGUAAAAUCCUUCCUUAUUUACAACUAACGUAUUUCAUAAUAUCUUUUGAUUUAAAGGAUUAAUAUUUCUAAUCAAUUCAGAUCAUCACGCUUUUGCUGCGCACUCUGAUCUCAACU